CGCUGCUGAGCCUCCUGUAACGUGCAGAGCAGCCCCACGACAGUGAGAGCCGUGGCCCAGGACAUCAGUUGUGCUGAGGCUGAGUCCCCCUGGUGUAGAUGAGCCACCAGGACGGAGCAGGCCCCUGGGGCCGGCAGCCACCGGGAGGGUUGAGCACCCCGGCUUGAGGGCCACUGUAUAGGCAGGACUGCCGGGCGGGAGCCCAGGUUUAAAGUCCCACUAUCCAGACCCUGCUGAGGCUCCCACUGGCCAAACCUGAGAGGCCCACUGAUGGGCUCUCAGAAGACAUGCAGCCCAGUCCCACUGUGACCCUUUACACUGAGGGGAAACUGAGACUCUUGCCCAAGAUGCCAGAACCAGGCAGAGGCCGAGCAGGGAGUCAGAUGCAAGUCAUCUGGCGCCAGAUUGCAGCCCUGCCGCGUACAUGGCACAGGCCUUGGGGCCUGUGAAUGGCCCUUCACUGGGCUGCAAAUGUGCUUGAGGGCUCUGUCGGGGGGGUUGCCUUGGCCCGGACACUGUCCUGGGGCCCUGGACAGGGUGCCCUGGUGCCGGCCUCAGGCAGGCUCUCCUCUUCCUUCCAGCAAAGAGUAACGCCUCUCAAUCCAGCAUCGCCUCCCUGCCCUCCUGGGCUGCUGCCCCCGCAGAGCCUCAGCCUCAGCCAAGAGUUGAUAUACAGAUGUUCCUGGACAUGUCAUACCACUUUACUCCUAAAUACUUCAGCGAGUGUUUCCUAUAGCAAGGAUAUUUUCUUUAAUAACACAAUCUGCAGAUAUGAAUACCUCACCUGAAACAUUUCAUUGCCAUUAACUAUGUGAAGGAAGAAUUCCUGCAUUGACAAUUUUGAAGUGUCCAGGCAGUGACUCUGCAAAAGUCCUCCAUGUGGAUUUAUUAGAUGGUUCACUCAAGAUGACAUGUGGGUUAAACACUUUGGAUGGGACACCACUAAGGUAAUGAUGCUUCUGGGGAGCUCUUAAAAAUGCCAGUUCUCGACCCUGGUCCUGGAGGUUCUGUUUGUACAGACCACGGGUGGGGGCCCAGAAUCUAUAUUUUUAGCAAAUCCUCUAAGUGGUUCUGUAGUUCAGCCAGCCUGGAAGUGAGCCCAUUAUUCCAUACACUCUUCCAUCAACACCUUAAUAAAGUAGGUAUUAGGAUCCCAAUUUGUCAGGUUAGAGAGUGGAGGCUCAGGUGGUGAAUUCUGGAGCCAGAAUCGGAGGCCUGGUCUGUUUGGUGCCUAUGUCCUCCAAGUCGUCCUUUGCGCUAGACUGCCCCCUGCUGACUACAACGGUAAUGCCGCUAGAAGUCUUACCUGUUGGUCCCGGGGCCUGUAGCUAUCUUCAAGUCAGUGUUACAGCAUGAAGGGCGUGAGGAGACUGCUGUCAUGGCCACACCUGGUGGCGCAUUUCAUCAGAGUUCAUCCAGUCCAGAAAGCUGUGGGUCUCUUGAGCCUGGGGCUCUGGGAGGCACAGCCUACACCUGGAGCCAGCAUCCGCCCGAGUGUUCCACCCCCGACCUGUGAGCUCUCUCCCUUGCUUUCCUCCUGACCCAGCUACGGAGCUCCGAGGGGGAGGCCGAGAGCACCUUUGUCCUGGCGGUGGCGGAGCAUCACUUCCACAUGGGCAGCAGGCUGGUGGCUGCUGAGCCGGUCUCAGCAACACCAUCAGGCUGGAACAGACCUUCCCCCAGGUGUGUAUGGGGGGCGGCCAGGACAAGCUGGGAGGCUCGCGGGGGCAGCCCUCAGAGAAAAGGGGAAUUGUCCUGGUUUCGGGACGACCCGGUAUGGGCAGAGCUGUGAAGUGGGCAGAAUGUGCUGGAAUGGAUCCUCAGCUGUCUUGAUGUCCAUUCUUCCCUCUGUUCCCUCCCUCCCUUCUACCACCUACUAGGUGCCUGACCAGGCCCUAUUCCAGAAGCUGAAGAACAGCUUCUGUGGCCUGGAACAGAACUGAUGAGUCCUUAUUCUCAUCAAGUAUAUGGUCUGGUAGGAAAUUGACACUCAAAAAAAUAACAUAAAUAAUAAUCUAGAUGGUGACACAUACUAUAGAGAAAGCAGUGGGAUGGUAUGAGUGAUUAUGGCUGGGAAGCUAUGCCCUAGGAGUAAAGGCCAGUAAAGUUAAGGAGGUGACAUUCAAGCUAGCCCUGGAUGACAAGUAUCAGCCAUGUGAAAAUCUGGUGAAAGGGCAUUUUAGGCAGAGGGAACAAAACAUGCCAAGGUUCUGGGGCGGGACUGAGUUUGGCAUGUUUUAGGAAUGGCCACUGGACUGGAGCAGGGUGGCUGAGGGAGUAAAUGGUGGGAGGCCUUGGGGGUCUGGUCAGGCAGGGCAUGGCGAGCCACAGGGAGGAGUUUGUACUUUAUUCUCUCUGAAGUUGGAAGCCUUUUGAGGCCAAGACUUAAUUGAUGAUUUCAGACCUCUGACUGCUCUGUGGAGAGUGGCCUACAGGGGGCAGAAGAGAACAGUGAGGAAGCCCCUGUAGCCAACAGGACAGGAGAUAAUGAUGUCUCAGGCCAAAGUGGGAUGGCGGUGGCACCAAAGGCAAAUGAACAGACACAUGAUAGAUUGUACCUGUCUUAGUCUGACUUAGGCCCAUAGGUCUUGGCAUAGAUCUUGCCCCCAAAGGGGCCAGUGAUCAAUGAUCCAGUUGGCAUGGCACCAUGUCGGCAGCAACAGGGCCAAGCCUGGCAGACAGCCCAGCUGUCAGUGCACACAGCUAGAGGGGAGGGCGUGAUAAUCCUGCGUGAUCGGGAGCCAUUCUACCCGUGACUCAGUCCAUUGACUGCUUUUCCCCUCUCCGUCCUCUAACACUUAUAUUGUCUUAGUCUUAGGAUGGAAAGUCACAGCCCUCCACUUCGGGGGCUGCCCACAAGUCGAGCCGUCUGUAUACCAAGCAUCUUCAGGUAUAGGGGCUUUUCCCUGCUGAUAAGGACUCUCGCCUACCAAUGGCUCAAGUGCAAGUUCUUCUUGCUUUCCACUCGUAUACGUCACUUGCCCAAAUAGGCAUCGGAGAUCUCCACUCAAGGGGGUAUCGGAGAGGGUGCUAUGCUGCUUCAAAUCUGCGCCCCCAUUUGGGCAGUGGAUGUGUCUGUGCCGUGCCACUCCCUGGCUUUGGGUCCAGUCUCACACCCACCCCACGAUGGGAUAGGUGGUUAUUACAUUGGUCGGACCUAUUCCGGUGAUGGGCUCCAUAGCCACCAAGGCGUGAUACACAGAAGCCAGUUGCUCCUCUAUUAAUGGCUACCAGACCUCUGCUCCUUUCCAUAUUGGGACCAGAAUGCAACAGGUUGGCAUGUUCACUAAAAGAAAUGCCAAAGGCCCCAUCCGUAACCAUCUCCAUUUACAUGAACACCUAGCUUGCAGGGCCUUCAUGAAUCCAUUACACUCAAGGACUAUAAUGGCCUUGACUGCUUGCUUAGUAGCAGUGAACACAGCUGCACAGGUCUCAUCAUGGCCCCACCUGACGCCCUUUUGCACUGACUGGUAUAAGGCCUUCAGAAUUUGUGCGAAGUGCCAGAUAAACACCCUCCAGGAGCCCAAAACACCCAAAAACUCUUGUAUGAUGGACUGCCACAGUGGUAGGGGUUGGGAAAGCCUGGAACUUGUCUAUGACCACAUCUGGGAUAACUGUAGUUUUACCCAACCAGACAACCCCCAAGAACUUGACACACAAACCAGGUCCCUGAACCAUCCCUGUCAAAAUACCAACAGCAUUCUUCAACAAACUGGAACAAAUAGCUCUAAAAGUCAUAGGGAACCACAAAAGACCCCAAAUAGCCAAAGCAAUCCUAAGAAGGAAGAAUAAAGUGGGGGCAGAGGAGGCAUUAUGCUCCCCAACUUCAAGUUCUACUACACAGCCACAGUAAUCAAGACAAUUUGGUACUGGCACAAGAGCAGACCUGUAGAUCAAUGGAACAGAAUAGAGGGCGCAGAUAUAACACACACAUACACGGCCAAUUCAUAUAUGAUAAAGGAACGACGGAUGGACAUACAAUGGGGAAAUGACAGCCUCUUCAACAGCUGGUGUUGGCAAAACUGGACAGUUACAUGAGAGAGAGAGAAUGAAAUGGGAUUACGGUCUAACUCCAUACACAUAAGUAAACUCAAAAUGGAUCAAUGACCUGAAUGUAAGUCAUGAAACCAUAAAACUCUUAGAAGUAAAUCAUAGGCAAAAGUCUCUUGAAUAUAAACAUGAGCAGCUUUUUCAUGAACAUGCCUCCUCGGACAAGGGAAACAAAAGCAAAGAUGAACAAGUGGGCCUCUAUCCAAGUCAAAAGCUUCUGUACAGCAAAGGACACCAUCAGUGGGAGAAAAAGGCAUCUCUACAGUAUGGGAGAAUAUAUUCAUAAAUGACAUAUAUCAUAAGGGGUUGACAGCCAAAAUAUAAAGAGCUCAAGCACCUCCACAACCAAAAGGCAGGCAAAUAACCCGACUAAAAAAUAGGCAGAGGAUCUGAACACACUUCUCCAAAGAAGAAAUGCAGAUGGCCAAAUGGCCAACAGGCACAUGUAAAGAUGCUCCACAUUGCUAAUUAUAAGAGAAAUGCAAAUUUAAACCGUAAUGAGAUAUCACCUCACACCAGUCAGGAUGACCACCAUCCAAAAGACAGACAACAACGCAUGCUGGCGAGGAUGUGGAGAAAGGGGAACCCUUGUACACUGCUCGGGGGAAUGGAAAUUAGUUUAACCAUUGUGGAAAGCAUUAUGGAGGUUCCUCAAAAAACUCAAGAUAGAAAUAACAUUUGUCCCAGGAAUUCCACUCCUAGGAAUUUAACCUAAGAAUGCAGCAACCCAGUUUGAAAAAGAUAUAUGCACCCCUAUGUUUAUCACAGCACUACUUACAAUAGCCAAGAAAUGGAAGCAACCUAAGUGUCCAUCAGUAGAUGAAUGGAUAAAGAAGAUGUGGUACAUAUACACAAUGGAAUAUUAAUCAGUCAUAAGUAGAAAACAAAUCCUACCAUUUGCAACAACAUGGAUGGGGCUAGAGGGUAUUAUGCUCAGUGAAAUAAGGCAGGCAGAGAAAGACAAGUAUCAAAUGA
Manis pentadactyla (Chinese pangolin) is the source of this 5025-nucleotide long non-coding RNA. RefSeq lists it as uncharacterized. Lineage: Eukaryota; Metazoa; Chordata; Mammalia; Pholidota; Manidae. The transcript is spliced from 3 exons. The record is from RefSeq and is a predicted model, not a curated record.